GGAAGUAAAAGUUGUAACAAGGUUUCCGUAGGUGAACCUGCGGAAGGAUCAUUAUUGUAUAACCGAGGUGCGAGGGCUGUCGCUGACCCGAAAGGUCGUGCACGCCCGAGUGCCCUCACACACAUCCAUCUCACCCCUAUGUGCACCACCGCGUGGGUCCCCCUUUGGCUUGUUCGGAGGGGGGCUUACGUUUUCACACAAACUUUGUAUGCAGUGUAGAAUGUAUUUUUUGUUUUUGCGAUCACGCAAUCUAUACAACUUUCAACAACGGAUCUCUUGGCUCUC
RNAcentral lists this unclassified non-coding RNA (285 nucleotides) under plant metagenome. RNAcentral describes it as "partial contains small subunit ribosomal RNA, internal transcribed spacer 1, and 5.8S ribosomal RNA". The stretch from base 1 to 54 matches the Rfam family "Eukaryotic small subunit ribosomal RNA", at positions 1778 to 1831 of the family's 1831-position model. The record is from RNAcentral.